GAUGAACGCUGGCGGCGUGCCUAAUACAUGCAAGUCGAGCGAACAGACGAGGAGCUUGCUCCUCUGACGUUAGCGGCGGACGGGUGAGUAACACGUGGAUAACCUACCUAUAAGACUGGGAUAACUUCGGGAAACCGGAGCUAAUACCGGAUAACAUGUUGAACCGCAUGGUUCAACAGUGAAAGACGGUCUUGCUGUCACUUAUAGAUGGAUCCGCGCCGCAUUAGCUAGUUGGUAAGGUAACGGCUUACCAAGGCAACGAUGCGUAGCCGACCUGAGAGGGGGAUCGGCCACACGGGAACUGAGACACGGUCCAGACUCCUACGGGAGGCAGCAGUAGGGAAUCUUCCGCAAUGGGCGAAAGCCUGACGGAGCAACGCCGCGUGAGUGAAGAAGGUCUUCGGAUCGUAAAACUCUGUUAUUAGGGAAGAACAAAUGUGUAAGUAACUAUGCACGUCUUGACGGUACCUAAUCAGAAAGCCACGGCUAACUACGUG
Molecule: ribosomal RNA, 497 nt
Filed under: uncultured bacterium
Lineage: Bacteria
Description: partial 16S ribosomal RNA
Rfam family: Bacterial small subunit ribosomal RNA
Source: RNAcentral